This 388-nucleotide ribosomal RNA is filed under the name uncultured bacterium. RNAcentral describes it as "partial 16S ribosomal RNA". It matches the Rfam family "Bacterial small subunit ribosomal RNA", at positions 338 to 795 of the family's 1533-position model. The record is from RNAcentral.
CCUACGGGCGGCAGCAGUGGGGAAUAUUGCACAAUGGGGGAAACCCUGAUGCAGCGACGCCGCGUGAAGGAAGAAGUAUUUCGGUAUGUAAACUUCUAUCAGCAGGGAAGAAAAUGACGGUACCUGACUAAGAAGCCCCGGUUAACUACGUGCCAGCAGCCGCGGUAAUACGUAGGGGGCAAGCGUUAUCCGGAUUUACUGGGUGUAAAGGGAGCGUAGACGGCAGUGCAAGUCUGGAGUGCCGGAGGGGUAGGCGGAAUUCCUAGUGUAGCGGUGAAAUGCGUAGAUAUUAGGAGGAACACCAGUGGCGAAGGCGGCCUACUGGACGGUGACUGACGCUGAGGCUCGAAAGCGUGGGGAGCAAACAGGAUUAGAUACCCCUGUAGUC